Molecule: ribosomal RNA, 552 nt
Filed under: uncultured bacterium
Lineage: Bacteria
Description: partial 16S ribosomal RNA
Rfam family: Bacterial small subunit ribosomal RNA
Source: RNAcentral
UGGGGAAUUUUGGACAAUGGGCGCAAGCCUGAUCCAGCCAUGCCGCGUGCGGGAAGAGGGCCUUCGGGUUGUAAACCGCUUUUGUCAGGGAAGAAAUCUUCUGAGUUAAUACCUCGGGAGGAUGACGGUACCUGAAGAAUAAGCACCGGCUAACUACGUGCCAGCAGCCGCGGUAAUACGUAGGGUGCAAGCGUUAAUCGGAAUUACUGGGCGUAAAGCGUGCGCAGGCGGUUUUGUAAGACAGAGGUGAAAUCCCCGGGCUCAACCUGGGAACUGCCUUUGUGACUGCAAGGCUUGAGUGCGGCAGAGGGGGAUGGAAUUCCGCGUGUAGCAGUGAAAUGCGUAGAUAUGCGGAGGAACACCGAUGGCGAAGGCAAUCCCCUGGGCCUGCACUGACGCUCAUGCACGAAAGCGUGGGGAGCAAACAGGAUUAGAUAGCCCUGGUAGUCACGCCCUAAACGAUGUCAACUGGUUGUUGGGAAGGUUCCUUCUCAGUAACGUAGCUAACGCGUGAAGUUGACCGCCUGGGGAGUACGGCCGCAAGGUUGAAAC